This 232-nucleotide ribosomal RNA is filed under the name uncultured bacterium. RNAcentral's name for it is "partial 16S ribosomal RNA". It matches the Rfam family "Bacterial small subunit ribosomal RNA", at positions 104 to 334 of the family's 1533-position model. The record is from RNAcentral.
CGGGACGGGGUGAGUAAUGUCUGGGAAACUGCCUGAUGGAGGGGGGUAACUACUGGAAACGGUAGCUAUACCGCAUAACGUCGCAAGACCAAAGAGGGGGACCUUCGGGCCUCUUGCCAUCGGAUGUGCCCAGAUGGGAUUAGCUAGUAGGUGGGGUAACGGCUCACCUAGGCGACGAUCCCUAGCUGGUCUGAGAGGAUGCCAGCCACACUGGAACUGAGACACGGUCCAG